AACAGUGAAUGAUGUAACUAAAGAAGAAAUAAAGAAAGCUUUGCGAGAGAUUUAAAAAUGGUCUUUCAGCUCUUCAGUUUUUGACUGCACUGCAGCAGCAUCCUUCUUUGAUGAUCCCUGUCCUGUGCCCCUCAGAAAAGAAGGUCACUGCCCUUGAACUUGAGAGACUUUUCAAACCUGACCUCAGUCCAUCAGGGAGCAACAGGAGACUCGGAGAAGGACAAACAUUAGGCUACUGGGCUGACUAUCUCCUUGAUUGUGAAGAAGGUCAGGCUGCUGUUUGCGUGGAAGAUGUUUUCAUGUUUGCAACUGGGCUAACUUCACUUCCCCCAUCUGGAUUGAAA
Long non-coding RNA from Polypterus senegalus (gray bichir), 344 nucleotides. RefSeq lists it as uncharacterized. The transcript is spliced from 3 exons. The record is from RefSeq and is a predicted model, not a curated record. Lineage: Eukaryota; Metazoa; Chordata; Cladistia; Polypteriformes; Polypteridae.